AGUGAACGCUGGCGGUAGGCCUAACACAUGCAAGUCGAACGGCAGCACAGUAAGAGCUUGCUCUUACGGGUGGCGAGUGGCGGACGGGUGAGGAAUACAUCGGAAUCUACUUUUUCGUGGGGGAUAACGUAGGGAAACUUACGCUAAUACCGCAUACGACCUACGGGUGAAAGCAGGGGAUCUUCGGACCUUGCGCGAUUGAAUGAGUCGAUGUCGGAUUAGCUAGUUGGCGGGGUAAAGGCCCACCAAGGCGACCAUCCGUAGCUGGUCUGAGAGGAUGAUCAGCCACACUGGAACUGAGACACGGUCCAGACUCCUACGGGAGGCAGCAGUGGGGAAUAUUGGACAAAGGGCGCAAGCCUGAUCCAGCCAUACCGCGUGGGUGAGGAAGGCCUUCGGGUUGUAAAGCCCUUUUGUUGGGAAAGAAAAGCAGCAGGUUAAUACCCCGCUGUUCUGACGGUACCCAAAGAAUAAGCACCGGCUAACUUCGUG
This 492-nucleotide ribosomal RNA is filed under the name uncultured bacterium. RNAcentral's name for it is "partial 16S ribosomal RNA". It matches the Rfam family "Bacterial small subunit ribosomal RNA", at positions 29 to 507 of the family's 1533-position model. The record is from RNAcentral.